RNAcentral lists this ribosomal RNA (373 nucleotides) under uncultured bacterium. RNAcentral's name for it is "bacterial SSU rRNA". It matches the Rfam family "Bacterial small subunit ribosomal RNA", at positions 523 to 898 of the family's 1533-position model. The record is from RNAcentral.
AUACGGAGGAUUCGAGCGUUAUCCGGAUUUAUUGGGUUUAAAGGGUGCGUAGGCGGGCUAAUAAGUCAGUGGUGAAAUCACUCAGCUUAACUGAGUAACUGCCAUUGAUACUGUUAGUCUAGAAUAUAAAUGGUGCAGGCGGAAUGAAUCAUGUAGAGGUGACAUUCAUAGAUAUGAUUCAGAACACCGAUCGCGAAGGCAGCUUGCAAAGAUAUUAUUGACGCUGAGGCACGAAAGCGUGGGUAGCGAACAGGAUUAGAUACCCUGGUAGUCCACGCUGUAAACGAUGAUAACUCGUUGUCGGCGAUACACAGUCGGUGACUAAGGGAAACCGAUAAGUUAUCCACCUGGGGAGUACGAUCGCAAGGUUGAA